UGUACAAAGAUUUACAACAUACAACAUAUCUAUAUACUGCAAUGAUUUCUUCAUUCUUCCUUUUAUAUACACAUGUAUAACAAAUCAUACUUUUAGAUAUUGCUUUUUUCCUGAAAUCCUAAAGUUUAAUGACAAAUGAUAUCAAAACUACAAUUGAUGUGUUGAGACGACAUAAAUGCCCAAAAACUGCUGCCAAAUUGUUACUAUACAAAAUAGAGAAAUGUUAUUUUUGAAAAAUUGAAUUUAAAUGAUCAUAC
This 257-nucleotide long non-coding RNA is filed under the name Mytilus galloprovincialis (Mediterranean mussel). The record is from RNAcentral. Lineage: Eukaryota; Metazoa; Mollusca; Bivalvia; Mytilida; Mytilidae.